AGGCUCAUCAUGCAUUCACGUUAUAUUCCGCUUAUGUUAUGCAUCAUGAUGAUUUAGCAAGUCAUGUGGUUCGCUCGGUCACAUGUAGUCAGGCACCGAGUGCCGUGUUACGUCCAGGCCAUGGUUCGGGGCGUGACAGAAGUGAUCAUAAAUGGUUAGCUUCAAGACUUUGUCGGCAGGUUCUUGACCUGUUGUCAUUCAGAUGCCUGGCCGCUCAAACAAUGAGAUAAAGAACUACUGAAACGCCAAACUAAAGAGACAACAACGUGCAGGCUUGUCCAUGUACCCUCCAGAAGUUCAUUUCCAGACGUUUAGUGAGAACAAACAAAAUAAGGAACUCGACACAUUCUCUUCUGCAAAUGCACAAACAAAAUAACAAACUCGACACAUUCUCUUCUGAAAAUACACAAACAAAAUAAGGAACUCGACAUAUUCUCUUCUGAAAAUGCACAUCUUGAUCUCUUGCCUAUCAACACUUUUGAGAUUCCAUAUGUGGAAUUAAAAAAAUUUGAACCUAGUCAGCAGUUGUAUCCUCCGGGGCUUCUUAAUAUUGCUCCUAAUAGCUUUCAUAAUAUUCCUACAA
This is a long non-coding RNA of Lycium barbarum (goji berry), 583 nucleotides long. RefSeq lists it as uncharacterized. The transcript has 3 exons. The record is from RefSeq and is a predicted model, not a curated record. NCBI's taxonomy places the organism in Eukaryota, Viridiplantae, Streptophyta, Magnoliopsida, Solanales, Solanaceae.